AGGUGUGGUAAGAGCGCACCUAGGCGACGAUCAGUAGCUGGUCUGAGAGGAUGAUCAGCCACACUGGGACUGAGACACGGCCCAAACUCCUACGGGAGGCAGCAGUGGGGAAUUUUCCGCAAUGGGCGAAAGCCUGACGGAGCAAUACCGCGUGAGGGAGGAAGGCUCUUGGGUUGUAAACCUCUUUUCUCAAGGAAAAAAAAAAUGACGGUACUUGAGGAAUAAGCAUCGGCUAACUCCGUGCCAGCAGCCGCGGUAAUACGGAGGAUGCAAGCGUUAUCCGGAAUGAUUGGGCGUAAAGCGUCCGCAGGUGGCAAUGUAAGUCUGCUGUUAAAGAGUGAGGCUCAACCUCAUAAGAGCAGUGGAAACUACAUAGCUAGAGUGCGUUCGGGGCAGAGGGAAUUCCUGGUGUAGCGGUGAAAUGCGUAGAGAUCAGGAAGAACACCGGUGGCGAAAGCGCUCUGCUAGGCCGCAACUGACACUGAGGGACGAAAAGCUAGGGGAGCGAAUGGGA
Molecule: ribosomal RNA, 514 nt
Filed under: Leptolyngbya polysiphoniae AUS-JR/AP/NT-082
Lineage: Bacteria; Bacillati; Cyanobacteriota; Cyanophyceae; Leptolyngbyales; Leptolyngbyaceae
Description: bacterial SSU rRNA
Rfam family: Bacterial small subunit ribosomal RNA
Source: RNAcentral